Mus musculus (house mouse) is the source of this 1197-nucleotide long non-coding RNA. RefSeq annotates it as predicted gene, 38922. The record is from RefSeq and is a predicted model, not a curated record. The transcript is spliced from 2 exons. Lineage: Eukaryota; Metazoa; Chordata; Mammalia; Rodentia; Muridae.
GUCCAUUCUUGUUCCACCCUGCUCCAACAAGACAAACCCCAGAUUUUUUUAAACUGUAUUUGCCUUCCUAUCCGGGUAUAUUUUGACUAAGUUGUAACCAUAGAUAGACUCUACUUGGUGCUUAUCUGGAUGGUGGUUCACAGCCCCCUCCCACUCAGCAGUCUCUCACUAGCAGGCAAGCAUCUUCAGGUCACAACUUUGGCAGAGCCGGUCCUCCAAUGCCUUUGAGCAGGGAGGGAGCGGGCAGUGCUGUGCAUCCUCUGUGUCUGGCUGGCUUCCUGCAACUGGAUCUCAGGCUGUGGUAGAGGGAGAAGGUAAGGGUUGAACAGUUCACACGGGCCUUAAAACCCAGGAGAAAUGGGGCAGGGUCUCCAACACUCCAGGGGACUUGGUCCCAGAGCAACAUAAGAGAGGCAUCCUUCUUUCAUUUUCCCACAGGUCACUGUGAGAAGAUGGCACUGAUGGCAGUUGUGCCUGCCUUCCCCCUCCAAGGAGUGCCAGUGCAGUCGCCAGAAAGAAGAGGGGAAACCUCCCACAUGCUACAGGCCCUCCCUGCAACAAGGGAUAACGCUUCCCUGGGAAUCACAGUCAAGAGAGUUCUGUAGAAACGGCCUUUCUCAUUUAGAUUUCCUCUCUCUGCCUCUUCUCCCUAUGCCUCUUCCUACCUAUUCUCCCUUCUCUUGUCUUUCUUCUCCUCCUCUUAUUCUCUCUUUCUCUCCUGCUUUCCCUUCUGUCCUGUUCUUCCUUCCAGAUAAAUCAGGAUCCUGCAUAUGAAGUAAAAUCAUGCAUGUUUCUCCUUCCAGUUCUGGCUUAUUUGACUCAACACGAUGGUCUCUAGUGGCAGCCACUCUGCUGCCAAAGAUACAUUGUUUCAUCUUCAUGUCAUCAUGGUUAUGCCAACCCACACUGUGAACAUGUGUCACCACAUCCUUGCAGUUGUCAUUUUAUAAUUUUAAAAAUAAUUUUGAUGUAUUCUUUGAUAUUUCAUACAUAUACACAAACUAUCCUGAGCAUAUCAAACUCUAACUGCAAUGUGCCCUUCUCUACCUGCAUGUCAUCUCUUUAUUCCCCCACUGUCAAACAAAUACUUUAUAUAAGAGAAAUUCCCUUUAAAUAUGUAUAUACAUGUUACCACGUAAUACUGUUAAUCAAACCCAUGUUUAUUUGUUUAAAUAAGAUUAAAUAAGUUGCCAAAUA